Non-coding RNA from Poecilia reticulata (guppy), 1074 nucleotides. NCBI's taxonomy places the organism in Eukaryota, Metazoa, Chordata, Actinopteri, Cyprinodontiformes, Poeciliidae. The record is from RefSeq and is a predicted model, not a curated record.
CCAGACGGUUCGUGGAGAUUUGACUUGGUGUUUCUUAAGGAUGUUUAGUUUUUCCAAGGCGCUAGUCCCUUUCUUUCUCCCACUCAGCUUUGGGCUUGGAUAUGCAGUGACCACAGGAGUGAAGAAAGCGUUUGACAGCUACUUUCCUGAAAAGAAUUUGGAUAAAAGCAGCUCUGAGAAUGAAUUUUCAUCUGUUCCCAAAUAACAAACUGAUCCCGGCUGCGGAGGUUUGCUUCAAACGAGCGACGGAUGUCUGCAGAACCACAGACUUUGACUCAGCUGAGACUUUACAAGACAGUACCAAGUGCGAGCAUACCGUCUGAACAAACUGACCCAGCUGGGAAAGUUUGUCCUUUUGAUGAAACAAGCUACAGACUUGACGCAACAGGACAACUAGACGAGGAUCCAACAAAGAACAAGGAACACAGGUUUUCUCCAACAUUGUUCUGUAUUUGGCUCCAAUCAUCUUCCAUCAACUCUGACCAUCUUCCUUGUCCCUGUUGAAGAGAGGCACCCCCAGAGAAUGACCGUCAUAUUCGACAGCAGGGAUGGUGUGUUCAGAGUGAAGUGCGUUUUGCAGUUUGGCCAAAACGUUMAGAUUUGGUCUGGUUAGACCAAAUCUCCUUCCACAUGUUUGCAGUUAGCCAGAAGCCAUGUUGGACUUCUUCUGGUUUUCUUUUAACAGUGGCUGUCUUCUGCUCCACCCUUUACAAACCCGGGGGCCAUGAAAGUCAUCAUCAACAUCUUUUCCUCAUGUGAAAGGGCUCUCAAGCUAUAGGAUCCAGGGGUUAUGAUUCUAAUCCUGAUUCUUUUUCUUCCUYUUCCUUUGUUAUUCUUGUUUUUUAUUUUGUGUGCAUUCUUGUUCGUUUGCUUCUGUAAGGCAGUGUUUCCCAACCCUGGUCCUCCAGGCACACCGCCCCGCAGGUWUUAUACGUCUCCCUGCUUUACCACGUCUGAUUCAGCUGACUGCAGUUCAGUUAAACAAACACCAGUCAGUUGARAUCAUAUGGGCUGAAGAGAGGAAACACCUGAAACAUGCAGGGCAGUGAGCCUUMAGGACCAGGGCGGGGAAAC